RNAcentral lists this ribosomal RNA (422 nucleotides) under uncultured bacterium. RNAcentral's name for it is "partial 16S ribosomal RNA". It matches the Rfam family "Bacterial small subunit ribosomal RNA", at positions 360 to 774 of the family's 1533-position model. The record is from RNAcentral.
AAUCUUCCACAAUGGACGAAAGUCUGAUGGAGCAACGCCGCGUGAGCGAAGAAGGUUUUCGGAUCGUAAAGCUCUGUUGCGAGGGAAGAACAAGUACGGGAGUAACUGCCCGUACCUUGACGGUACCUCGUCAGAAAGCCACGGCUAACUACGAGCCAGCAGCCGCGGUAAUACGUAGGUGGCAAGCGUUGUCCGGGGGUAUUGGGCGUAAAGCGAGCGCAGGCGGUCCUUUAAAUCUGAUGUGAAAGCCCACGGCUGAACCGUGGAGGGUCAUUGGAAACUGGAGGACUUGAGUACAGAAGAGGAAAGAGGAAUUCCACGUGUAGCGGUGAAAUGCGUAGAGAUGUGGAGGAACACCAGUGGCGAAGGCGGCUUUCUGGUCUGUAACUGACGCUGAGGCGCGAAAGCGUGGGGAGCAAACA